Molecule: long non-coding RNA, 981 nt
Filed under: Ursus maritimus (polar bear)
Lineage: Eukaryota; Metazoa; Chordata; Mammalia; Carnivora; Ursidae
Description: lncRNA (ENSUMAG00000014100.1)
Source: RNAcentral
AAAGAACGAAACAACCACCACUAUCACCAGUUCCUGAAUGGAAGAAGUUUAAGAUAUGAACUCUGAUCUCAAACAGCCUACUGGUGUGAAAUCACUAAAGUAUGUGAAACAAUCAAGGUAGAGUUAAGCGCUGCUAACCGAGAAAGCCUGAAGUUCUAGCUGGUAGGAGAGAAGGAAGUGGUCUGUGCUGACGGAAAUAGCUGAAGAAGAACGGAUAAGAACUGUCGGAGAGGAGGAAACAGGCGUUAUUCCAAGCAGACAGGAGCACUCGAGCAAAGGAAUAAUUCGGGGUUGGAAAGGCGGGGCGAAGGGAUAAUGUAAAUUUCUGCCACGGGCAACGUCAAGGGCAACGUGGAAAGAAGCGGAGACUUGAGAGACUCCCUCACAAAGCUGUUGGCCACUGCAGGCCAUCGCUUUUUAGCUUCUUGGGAGAGAGAGCUCGUCGUCCCAGGGAGGUACACAACCCAAGCCUCUGACUUGCUUGAUUUUUACAAGGAACCUAGGCUCAUGUCCAGUGUCCUUGAUUUGAGUCCCACGAACAUAUGAUUGGCUUGGCCUUCCUACCAAAGCACAGCUAAACUCGGUUGACUGUGGGACUCGCGGGGCUCCUAAAGAUGAAAACUUUGAACUAAAGGGGAACUGCCACCUUGCUAGUGGUAUCUAAAAGAUCCGUAACCAAGGCCGACAGGAAUUAAAAGCCUUCCACCACCAAAUGUAUGAGACCUAUUUGUGGCAUUGAAUUUAUAAUCGUGUACACGCAGCUUUGUAAGCAGCAAAGAACAAACCCGUGUAAACAAAACAAAACAAGCUAAAGAUGGCGCCUGACGGCCUUGAAAAAGCCUCGUAGUCGUGUCCCUCCCUGAAGUGGCCCCUCCCCUCCCUGGCUCGUUGAGUGAUUGUGGAUUGCAGCCAAUAACGUCCCUGGUCCUGCCCCCCACCGUCCAAUCGCCAAUCACCGGGAGCCAGAGGACGGGAGGGGCG